GAUGAACGCUAGCGGCAGGCCUAAUACAUGCAAGUCGAACGGUAGAUCGGGUAGCAAUACUUGAUUGAGAGUGACGUAAGGGUGCGUAACACGUAUGCAAUCUACCCUCAACAGGAGUAUAGCUCGGGGAAACUCGGAUUAACACUCCAUAACAUUACGAUGUGGCAUCACAUUGUGAUUAAAACUCCGGUGGUUGAGGAUGAGCAUGCGUCUGAUUAGUUAGUUGGAGGUGUAACGGACCCCCAAGACGAUGAUCAGUAGGGGAACUGAGAGGUUGAUCCCCCACACUGGCACUGAGAUACGGGCCAGACUCCUACGGGAGGCAGCAGUAGGGAAUAUUGGUCAAUGGGUGAGAGCCUGAACCAGCCAUGCCGCGUGCAGGAAGACGGCCUUCUGGGUUGUAAACUGCUUUUAUCUGGGGAUAAAAAGCCCAUGCGUGGGACAUUGAAGGUACCAGAUGAAUAAGCACCGGCUAACUACGU
This 482-nucleotide ribosomal RNA is filed under the name uncultured bacterium. Its description in RNAcentral is "bacterial SSU rRNA". It matches the Rfam family "Bacterial small subunit ribosomal RNA", at positions 28 to 506 of the family's 1533-position model. The record is from RNAcentral.